AGUUCUUAAAAGAAGUCUCUGAUCACCUAAAGUAAUCUGAGGAGUGAAGUAGUUGAUACUGAAGACCCAUUUUUGUCUGUAGUCACCAGAAAGUUAAUUCUCUAGGAUGUCAGUUUUAUAAUCUUCAACAAACCCUUCAGGUAUCUAAUUCUGUAACUGAAACACAACUGGAAUUUGAACAUACCAAGAAGGUGUAUUACCCAAAUUUGGGAUGGAUGUGCAUUGAUGCCACUGAUCCAGAGAAGGGAAACUGGCUGCGAUAUGUGAAUUGGGCUUGCUCAGGAGAAGAGCAAAAUUUAUUCCCACUGGAAAUCAACAGAGCCAUUUACUAUAAAACUUUAAAGCCAAUCGCGCCGGGCGAGGAGCUUCUGGUCUGGUACAAUGGGGAAGACAACCCUGAGAUAGCAGCUGCGAUUGAGGAAGAGCGAGCCAGCGCCCGGAGCAAGCGGAGCUCCCCCAAGAGCCGGAAAGGGAAGAAAAAAUCCCAGGAAAAUAAAAACAAAGGAAACAAAAUCCAAGACAUACAACUGAAGACAAGUGAGCCAGAUUUCACCUCUGCAAAUAUGAGAGAUUCUGCAGAAG
RNAcentral lists this small RNA (582 nucleotides) under Pongo abelii (Sumatran orangutan). RNAcentral's name for it is "processed transcript". Lineage: Eukaryota; Metazoa; Chordata; Mammalia; Primates; Hominidae. The record is from RNAcentral.